This 99-nucleotide ribosomal RNA is filed under the name Caerostris darwini. The record is from RNAcentral. Lineage: Eukaryota; Metazoa; Arthropoda; Arachnida; Araneae; Araneidae.
CCAUGCUGAAUAUACCGGUUCUCGUUAGAUCACCGAAGUCAAGCAUCAUUGGGCGCGGUCAGUACUUGGGUGGGUGACCACCUGGGAACACCACGUGCC